Molecule: long non-coding RNA, 1639 nt
Organism: Bactrocera dorsalis (oriental fruit fly)
Lineage: Eukaryota; Metazoa; Arthropoda; Insecta; Diptera; Tephritidae
Exons: 2
Source: RefSeq, a predicted model, not a curated record
AAGUAUAUACAGUGGCGGACAAAAGUCUACAUACACCCCCUGUUUUCUUCGAUGUGAGAGUACAAAAAGUUUUUAGAAAAAUGUAUUUAUACAGUUUUAUUCUAAUAUUUAUUAUAAUAGCAAUUAACUAAAAAAAUCCAUUAUUUAACAUAAAACAACAAAUUUAUGGAAGAAAAACUCAAAAAUUGCUUUGACAAAAGUCUACAUACAGUUCAAAUCUCAUACUUUGUACAUUGUUAUAUUAACAGUAAGGUAACGUUAGCCUUUUUCUUUUAUUUCAAUAUGUUUAUUGUUUGAUAUUUAUUGAAUUUAGUUGUGGUUUAAACAUUUCAAUAGCUAUAAUGGCUCCGCGAAAUGAAAUAUCAAUUGAUGUAAGAAAUUUGGUGAUAAAAGAAAGAAAAGAAAAAAAAUCAUAUGGUGAAAUUUCUAAAAUUUUAAACUUGAGUCGAGCAACAGUACAGACAAUUCUAAAAAACUUUAAAAAUAAUGGUUCCAACGAAAAUAAACCGCGCAGUGGACCCCCAAAAAAACAAUCUCGUAGAUACGUCAGCCUGAUUCUCAACGAAGUAGAUCAAAAUCCAAAAGUAAAUGCUGCAAAUAUAGCCGAACGCAUAGCGAGUACGUCACAAAUGAGUAUCCAACCAAGGCAAUAAAAAAAAACUCUAAACGAUAACGGAUUCCACAGUAGAACACCACGGAAGAAACCUUUUAUUUCUGAAAAAAUCGGAAAAUUCGUUUAAAGUUCGCCAAAAAACACAAAGAAAAGGAAAUGGAUUUUUGGAAAAAAGUUUCAUUUACAGAUGAUUCUAAAAUCACUCUUUUUGGUAGUGAUGAAAGUGCUAAAAUUUGAUGGAAAACUAACGCCACGCUUGAACCGAAGAACGUAGUAUCAAUUGUGAAGCUCGGUGGCGGUAGCGUAAUGGUUUGGGGAGCUGUUGCGGCCUCUGGAGUUGGAAAGAUGGACUUUAUUGAACGUGAAAUGGACGGUUAUAAGUAUAAGUCUCUGUUGGAACAUAAUUUGAAGCCUUUGGUGGAUAAUUUAGGGCUCGGUUCCGGUUGGAUAUUUCAACAAGAUAACGAUCCGAUGCAUGCGGCGCAAAUUGUCAAGGAUUGGUUGCUUUAUUAUACUCCAAGGCAAUUAAAUACACCACCUCAAAGUCCAAAUAUGAAUAUUAUUGAACAUGUCUGGGAGAUUUUGGAGCGUAGAAUUAGAAAGCACCAAAUUUCUAGCUCUACUAUACUCUAAGAGUGCAUAUUGGGACCUUGGAACAGCAUUACAUCUGCAGCGUUGACAAAUUUUGCAGAAUCAAUGCCACGGCGUCUUCAAGCAGUUACAGAUGCCAAUGGGGACCCAACUAAAUACUAAAACGUCUUAAUAACUAGCAUUUUGUAAAGUUUUUCGCACUGAACUAAGAUAUUUUUGUACUGUAUGUAGACUUUUGUCAACACAAUAUUUGAGUUUUUAUUCCAUAAAUUUGUAGUUUUAUAUUAAUUAACGGAUUUUUUAAGUUUGUUGUUAUUAGAAAGAAGAUUAGAAUAAAACUGUAUCAACACAUUUUUCUAAAAAGUUUUUGUACUCUCACAUCGAAGAAAACAGGGGGUGUAUGUAGACUUUUGUCCGCCACUGUAUACAUAUGUA